Molecule: small RNA, 174 nt
Filed under: Arabidopsis thaliana (thale cress)
Lineage: Eukaryota; Viridiplantae; Streptophyta; Magnoliopsida; Brassicales; Brassicaceae
Description: ATSL300860
Source: RNAcentral
UGGGUGGAAACGAACAUGAGAAGGGUGAGUCGAUCAAUGAAGCUGAAGAUGACAAGGGAAAUGAGACGGUCACUCUUGAUUUGGGGCGUUCUCUGUUUCGAUCAGAUUCCGUAACAGAUACGAGACUGAAGCUCAGCGCUUUGGUCAAAGCUUUGGAGGAGAGUAUUCCAAGGC